This 1469-nucleotide long non-coding RNA is filed under the name Nicotiana tabacum (common tobacco). Its description in RNAcentral is "long non-coding RNA (NTAB_LNC016275)". The record is from RNAcentral. Lineage: Eukaryota; Viridiplantae; Streptophyta; Magnoliopsida; Solanales; Solanaceae.
ACAUUUUUUGCAAUAAUCCAGAUUCGGAUGGCUUCAAGAGUUGGGUCUAACUUCUCAAAAGAAUAUUUAAAAAAAAUCCGUGUAGCUCCGAAAUUCUCUGGCAUAUUCGAUUCUCUACCUUCCUCCUUGGCACUCCGACUGACAUGGACUCGCCACCGCCUCGGUACUCUAGUACCGCCUCCGUGACCCAAGAACUUCUACGGAGCGAGGUAAGUCUAUUUUCUAAUCUUGUAAGGGGAAAUUAACUUCAUAGGUGAACUAAAUUAUUGUGUGCUUCUAUUUGUUGGAAUCACGUACGCACGAGGUGACGAGAGUCCGUACGUAACUACUAGCUAUGCCUACGUCCGGAUAGUUUUAGGCUCACAUCAUGCCUUGUUGAUAUUGUUAUUGAUUUUUGUUUAUUGUUUGCCUUGAGAGGGAGCGAGAUUGAGUCUGCUUAUUAAAUCUUUUGAGAGGUGUUGAAAUUGAAGAACUUAAGAUUUAAAAGGUAUCAUUUGAACUUCGUAAUUUCGAAAAGAAUUGAGGAAUAAUAUAAUAGCUGAAGAAAUCUAUGUGUAACCGCGUCGCAUGUAUGUUUCGCGAGCAGAGUAAUUUCCUUAAAAAGCUAUAAGUCGAAUUUCCCUUAUUUUGAAAAGAAUCAAGAAAGAGAUAUGAUUUUAAUAUUAAAUUUAUAUUUGACCGCAUCGCAAGUAUGAUCCGCGAGCGGGGUGGUUCCUUAAAUUUAUGUUUGAUCGCGCCGCACGUAUGAUUCGCGAGCGGGGUAUUUCCUACUACUCUCAUGGGAGCGGGCCGUUCGCCUAGGCAGAUUAAAUAGAUGCAUAUAUGGUUCGCGCCAUUCGACCCUCUGAUAGUGCACAAUUUAAAUAUUUGUUGAAUCGAUUCGUACGACCUCGGCAUGAUUUGCGCAUGCUUGUAUUAUUUGCCUUGAAAUUUAUAAAUAAUGAUAUUUCCUCCCUAGUAUGAGAUAAAUUGAUAAAUGAUGAAAUGUGAAUUUGGAAACCUCUUAUUAACAAAGGAAUCGUUUACUUGAUUCAUGAUUUUCUUGAGUUUAGUGUCGUUUUUAAUAAAUCCACGACUAAUUAUAUUAUUGAUGGCCACAGUAAGUGUUGAAGUCGACCCUUCGUCACUACUUUUUCGAGGUUAGGCGGGAUAUUUACUGGGUACGCGUUGAUUUACGUACUCAUACUAUACUUGUUGCACGUUUUGUACAGGUACAUAUAUGACUAGUGGCCUUGUGGGCGCAGAGGCGCGGUUAUUAUGGGGACUUAGGUGAGCUGCAUCUUAUGUACGACCCGCAGCCAGCAGAGUCUCCUUCAGAGUAUUGUAUUUUCGUUCUUGUCCAAAUUUGUAUUACGGACAGUUAUUGUAUUUUAUUCUAAAUUCCUAGAAAAUGCUCAUGCACUUGUGACACCGGGUUGUGGGAUGAUUAUGGGAUGUUCAGUAUUGAAAUUGGAAAAGAUGGUUAUUAU